UACGAAGGGUGCAAACGUUGCUCGGAAUCAUUGGGCGUAAAGCGCACGUAGGCGGCUUCGCAAGUCGGAUGUGAAAUCCCUCGGCUCAACCGAGGACGUGCAUACGAAACUGCGGAGCUUGAGUGCUGAAGAGGAUCGCGGAAUUCCCGGUGUAGAGGUGAAAUUCGUAGAUAUCGGGAGGAACACCAGUGGCGAAGGCGGCGAUCUGGGCAGACACUGACGCUGAGGUGCGAAAGCGUGGGGGGCAAACAGGG
This 254-nucleotide ribosomal RNA is filed under the name uncultured bacterium. Its description in RNAcentral is "partial 16S ribosomal RNA". It matches the Rfam family "Bacterial small subunit ribosomal RNA", at positions 524 to 777 of the family's 1533-position model. The record is from RNAcentral.